Long non-coding RNA from Gallus gallus (chicken), 9607 nucleotides. RefSeq lists it as uncharacterized. The transcript has 3 exons. The record is from RefSeq and is a predicted model, not a curated record. NCBI's taxonomy places the organism in Eukaryota, Metazoa, Chordata, Aves, Galliformes, Phasianidae.
GGUGAUCCACUGUUGCUGCUGCUGAAUCGCACCACCCGCUGUGCUCACAUCCACUGUUUGGUCUCCAUCAACAUUCAACAAGCAUCGAUGAGUCAUUUUUUCCACGUGGAGAAAUUCAAUUUCACACCGUUGCUGCAUAUGCACUUCCAUGUCAGACACCAUUUUGUCAGACUGCCCCUCUGCUGCUGUACAUUGCACAACCAACAUAAUAAAACAAGAGGCAUUACUUUUGGAGAAACUGUCAUAUAUUUACAAGCACAUACCAAACUGAAAGACGCUACUUGACCCUGCCUCAAAUUGCUUGCAGCCUGGUGAUGACAUGAAGAGCUCAUAAUGGCAGAUGCAGUAGGACUGGAAGAAGAGUAUGGGGAAGAACAUAAUUUGCACACUGUCAUAGGACUGGAGCUAGUGCAUACUUUGCGCAAUGAAGAACUAAAUUACAUCUGUGACCUCCACUACCAACAGAAGGUGGUAUCUUUCAGUAUUUGUCUUCAGUUUUUUUUCUUUGAUAAACUGUAGCAGAAUUCCUAUGUAGUUUAGGAAAUGCUAUAGUGUAUUUAGUUUAUUUUUCAAGGUUGAAAAUGUGACAGUAAUGUUAUGAAGUUUGAAAUGCAAUACAUGAAGUAGCUGGAAAACAAAUUCUAUAUUUUCAAUUGUUAGAACCCAUGGAUAAGCUGUUACUAAUUAAAAUAAAAUAAAAUAAAAUAAAAUAAAAUAAAUAAAUAAAAAAGGACCCACUUACCAUUCUCAGAAACGGUUGUACUUAAGUGUAAGUACUAUGAAAUGAAAAUUGAUUUUCAUGGUUCCUUAUUCUCCAAUACAGGGAAGGACAGUAGUUUCUUUAUUGUCCUCUGUAACCCUCCAGUUCACCAUAACUUAUUCUUUUUUCAUUUAGAAAUCUUCACUCUGUUACUUCCCCUCCCCAUUUCCUUUCCACUGCAACAGGAAGUCUCCAGGGGAAUUUGCUAGAUACAUAGAUGCCUUGGAAGGGAAAAGAGGAGACAAUUGUAGGUUAUCUGACUGUGUGGGUUGUAUGAGAAUUUAUUUUCAAAAAGAUGUAUGGGUUAUCUGAGUAGCAGGCUAUAUACAAGAAAAUAUGGUAAUAUCAAACCAUUUUAUUUCUAUCUGAUUCAGUCUUGCUGGGCUCGUGAAAGGACAAAUUUGCUUUUCUGAACUGCAUAAAUCUAUACAAUUUCAUUUCUUUCUUGAGAACAAAUAUAUGUAACAGACAGAUUUUUGCAUUUCUUUUCUUUCUUUUAUACCAUGAUUUAUAUACGUAAACAAGAUGUAAUAUUACUCCUUUUUAUAUUGUGGCAGGUUUAUUUUGCAUAGGUGAGCAAAAUAAAAAACUGUUUUUGUUUUCUUUUUUUUGUUUGUUUGUUUGUUCAGACACAGAACUUUUGAUAUUGCCUGAGAAUCAAGAAAGGUAGUUUCAGAUGUUGUAGCUCUUCCUCCAGAUAUACUUUGUAUUAUUUUUAGAUGCCUGUUAGUUCCUAUCAUCCCAGCUGAACAGUGUAAAUUCAUGAGUGAAUGGUGGGCUUGAAUGGACCUUUGAUAGUGAUACUUUUCAAAAACCAUUCCCUGUCCUUCUGGAAAGGAGAAACUGGAACAGGAUGAUGAAAUGACAUGCAAUAAUGAUGCAUUCUCAGUCAUGUGUUUUCUGAAGUUGGUUCUCUGAGAUCUUCCAAUUCUGUUCCCAGUAUGAAGCUCAGUUGUGUGGAGCCAUCUAGUUAACAAUUCACACAAAUAAAAUGAUUUUCAGAUGUGUUCAGUACCCUUAAAGUACUGUUUACUUUAAUUGCCAUGAUAAUUUUUCAAUGCUGAAUAUAAGCACGGAAAUUAGCUUCUGAAGAGCCAGAUUGAGCAGGACUUCAACAAUUAGACUAAUGACUGUGUUGUAAGCAUGAUAAUAUGUAGGAGGUAUUACUAGCAAGUUUAAGUUUCAUUAGGAAGCUGUAUUGGGCUUACAUAGCAAGGUUUUGACAGAAGGAGGCCUGUAGGGGGUGACCCCUGGCAGUAGAACCCUACAGCUUCCCAAGGUCAGUGUGGAAGGAGGGCAGGAGGUGCUCCAGUCAUAGAGCAGAAGUUCCCUGAAGACCAGGAGAGACACAUGGUGGAGCAGGCUGUCCCCCUGCAGCCCAUGGGUUCCACAUGGAGCAGAUCUCCAUAUGCAGCUGUGGAGGAGCCCAAGGUGCAGCAGGUGGAUGUGGACUGAAGGAAGCUGCAGCCCAAGGAGAGCCCCUGAAGGAGCAGACUUUAGGCCAAAACUGCAGCCUAUGGAGAGGAUCCCCCAGUGGAGGAAGUGAUCUAGCAGAAGCUGUCAGCUUUGAGGCCAUGUUCUGGAGCAGUCCAGUCCGUUCCUGAAGGGAGGGCCCUGUGCUAUGAAGCUAUGUUUGAACAGUGCUUGGAGAGCUGCAACCUGUGGAGAGUCUGCAUGGGAUCAGUUCAGAAAGGAUGGCAUCCCAUGAGAGGGAUCCCACAUGGAGCAGAAGCAGAGACUGCCCAUGAAGGAGCAGCAGAGACAAAGCAUUAUAAUUCGACUGCAGCCACCGUUCCCCAUUUCCCUGCACUGCCUGGGGGCAGGAGGAGAGAGUGGAUGGAGGAAGAUGUUUGUCAUUUGGUUUUAGAUUCUCCAUAUGCUCAGUCAGUUUUGUCUUUGAUAAUAAUUGGUGAGUGAUCUUCCUGUGUUUAUCUCAACCACUGACUCCUUUUUCAUUGCAUUUUCUCCCCCUGUCCCUUUGAAGAGAAGGGUAAGAGUUGUGAUGAAGUUGACUAGUUAUUAGUGUGAAACCAUGUUAGUCUGAAGUAUUAGUUAAAGAAAAAAAAAAACAACAAACAGAGAAAUGAUAGCUGAAAUUGCUUGGGAUGUUGGAUUAGUUGGUUUGGUUAUUAUUGAAGUGGUACAAUAAUACUACUAAGAUGACAAAUAUUUAUGCAUAUUUUAUGCAAAUAUGCAACAUUAGAAAUCUAUAAAAAUAAGGUAUCCUGAUGAUUCCUAAAUAUAGGUUAGAAAAUGUUUCCAGAAAUGGUUAAUAAACAGUGAUAUAAUAAGCUUUGUUACUUUGGUGCUCUUUCAAAGAUGUUCAGUUGCAUUAAACCCUCUUGCUUUGUGAGUGCUUAAACGAGAUUGUAGUUGUUAACAUAGAUGUCAAGAGGCUCUGUCAUUCUGUUUUUUGCACAAAAUUUUUAUAGAUAAAAACUUUCCUUUUAUCAUUGUAGGCCUCAUCUUCUCCUCUCAUGUACUUUUGCUCAUAAUUUUGUAAUACCUAGUCAGUGAUAGACUUUGCAAAGUCAUGUUUUCUUCUCUCAUCUCUAAUCUGGUUGAAUCUGGAAGCCAGUAAGACUGAACUGUACUUUUUCCACUUCUUGUAUUCAGAGAAGGUAGCUGGAGAAGAGGCUUAGUGAUAUUGCAUAAAUGAGCAUGUAGAGGCCAGACUGAGAAUUAACCCUAGAAUUCUUGAAUUCCAGUUUUGCAGUUAAAUAUAUACAAUGUCAGUUGUCUAAAUGACCCUAUUUGAACUUCAUUUCUGGGGUGUUCAUUACAAUGCUAUCAGGAUAAUGACUGAAGCCUUAAGUAUCUAUUCCUUACGUAGACUAUUGUGCUUUCUUAUAAAAGUGUACCGCUGUUGUAUGUAAUUUUCUACUUGUGCUUUGUGAAAUGCUGUAUUCCAGGUGUUUUUUGCAAAGAGAAAAGUCAGAGAUUUUUCCCUUGUCUUUGUAGGAAGAAAGCUAUCAGAUUGAUACUGCAGUGUUCAUCUUGAAAAUGGAACUACAGUUACUGUGAAGCUAGAUACGUAAACCUGAAGUAAUGGUCUGUUUUCUUCUACAAGGGACUCUCACUUUACCUGACACAAAACUGCAUAUAAUGAUUAAGAUCAUUAGCUUUUUUCAGCAUUUUCACAUGUGAAUAGAGACCUGGUCAUCAAUGGUAGUACUGGAUAAUCUUAGAGGUAUUUUGCAACUUUUGAUUCUCAUUCUAUGAAUCUAUGAUUUAUUCAAUAUUAGAGGAAGAAUUAGCAGCUUCAUGAAGUAGUGCUACUCUACAAGAGGAAAUUGGUUCACUGCUGGACUUCAGGUAAAAUCAGGCCCAAGUGUGUGUUAUCAUGAACAGGGCUGAAGUAUGUUACCUUCAUAACGUCAAACUUGCCUGCAUAGGUUUAAAAAGAUUAGGGUUUAAAUUGUUAGCAAACCUCUGAGAUUCAGUGAGCUGCAACUUACUUCUUGUGAGUAAUGAUUUUAAUUUGAAACAUUCUGCGUAAUUUCUGUUGUUCAAACUCAGAAGUUGGUUUCAAAAGUGUGUAGGUUUGAAAAGAAACAAUAUUACAGUCAUCCUUAUAUUCAUAUCUGGAUAGCAUAUAGAGUUGCAGUGCAUGAGAUGAAUCAAAGCAGAUAUCAAUAAGGAAGCUGCAAUAUAAGAAUAGAGAUUUUGGAUUUUCUAUCAUCUAGCAUUUGUGUAAAAAUAAUAUCUGGUUUAGGAACAAAAUGAGGUUAUUGCAAAUGAAAUCACUUGAUUGGGAUAAAAGAGGAUCUGUACUUUUUUUUUUUUUUUUUUUUUUUUUUGUCAUUCUAGAAUUUGUCUACUUAUCCAGAAGCAGGCAUGUUAUCUUGAUAUCAUAGUGUGUGACAUUCCAGCUAAUAGUUAAUAGCAUUAGGAUUCAGUACAACACUACAUUAAGGCGAAGACAAAGCAUGCAGAUUCAUGUUUUUAGUGAGGAUCUUUUCUGCCACAUGUGCUCUUCCAUCAGCAGUUGCUGUAAAAUUUGGUCUACUACUCAGUCUGAUUAGAGAUGCUGUUGCUGAACUCAUCAGAAAUGAAUGCUUUAUAUUAUAUCUUGUGUUCUGGUACAGAGGAUAGAGAUAAGCAGCAUCCGCUACUUGUUUGACUUCUUGAUCUGUCAUAAGGCCAAGCAUAACUUGGAAUGGUAGAAAUGCCAUUGUGUAAUGAUAACUCCAUCAGGAAAGAUAUUUUUUACCUUGAUCAACAAAUUCUUCCUGCUGGAAGAUGUUAUUCAGAAUGAGAAAAUAGACGUGUUUAGUUUUUGUUCAAAACAUGCUAGCCUUAAUACAAAGGAGGAAAAAAAACCAACAACAAAUGAAAAUGUACUUCAGAAGAAGAAAACAUUAUGUGUAUGAGUAAAAUUGUCAGGUAUUCAUUUACUGUAUCUGCCAAAAAGGACAGUGCAUUUGGCUGCAUGAACUAUUUAUAUUGGAUCAGUUAUCUAGCUGUUUUUCAAGGAAAACCAGGAAAAAAAUGGUUUUAUACAUGACUCUGUGACUAGAAACAGGAAUAAUUGCUAACUAAAUAAGUGCUUUUAAAAGCUGUCAGUAGGUUGGUUGUAGGGUUAUUUUUCCAGUUUAGCUCACUUAUUAUGUUCUUUGAAUAUUUCUUAAUGAAAUAAAAGAGACAUAUUUGGAGAAAAUAGCUGGUAGUGAAAUUAAUCUGAAAUUUAUUUCAUUGCUAUUCUACUCUCCUUGUGAGAGUACUCUAUGCUAAUACAUACACAAUGUCUGUGAAUAGAAAGAGUUCUGAAGUUCCAUCAUUUUUUCAGCUCCAUUAUUUCUGCCUUAUCAAUUAAGUAGUAUUAUCCAUAAUUUAGGAUAGAUAGAAAAUAUAACAUAGGUUGGUAUUUUUUCACAUGAUGUUAUAUCAUUUCAGUAUUUGGGGGAUUUUAAAGUCAACUAGCUUUUAAGGUAAAAUUCUUACUGAUGGUUCUUGUGUGCUCAGGCUGUACCAAACAUAAAACCAAUGGCUUUGUCACACUUGGGUUCCACAGGAAGUUUCAAAGCAAAAGCUCAGGCAUACAUUUGUCUGAUUUGCAUCUGCCCUGGCUGUACUAUAGGGGAAUGUAAGGUCUGUGUCCCAGCUUCUGCUGAAACUUGAUGAUGACGGAACUAUGGUUGUAUAGAUGAUUCAAGAAUAUUUAUAUUGUUCAAUAUACUUAGACAUAUACACAUGUCUAGGUUAGUAUCUUAAAAUCCUUACUUAGGUAAUGAGGAAGAUAGAUUUUGUGAAAGAUUAGCUAUGUAGAUUAUUGGCUGAAAGUCACUCUCCUUGAGCUAACAGUUUUGUUGGAGCGCUUUAUAGGACCAAGGGACUUCUAUUAGGCCUCAAAGUGAAAAGUAUGAAUUCUGCCUUCUGUGACAGAUAAUUGAGAAAAUUUGUACUCAGAAGUAUUUUAGAGUCAUCAGCACAAGGCAGGUAAGUCCUGAACAUUUUGUUCAUCCUGUUUGGAUAGAUGUGACAGAUAACAGAAUUGAUGUGCUGGCAAGAAAUGAACUACGGCACAUGUCAUAUAAACAGAUUUAUGGUUUGGGGACUUUUUUCUGUUACUGGUCUAAAUCUACAGAGAUACCAGCAGUUACGUUUUUACUGAGGUCAUUCCAGAUGUAGUGUCUCCUAUUAAUUUCCGUGGAAACUACAACUGAUGCAAAGAACAGAAUAAUGAUAGAGCAAAUUCUUGGCUACCAAGCACUAUUUUUCAACACAGUCACAACUAUCUGUUGAUUCAUGCAGAUGAGCUGACCAGGGUACUCUUCAUUUCAUGGUGUGACAGAAGAACACAUCCGUCUGGAACGUGGCUUACUUUUCACACUGCUUUUGCCACUGCUGAUAUGCACCUCUUGCAGCCUCAUUGUGCUCACAUCCUGUUUGGUUUUUAUAAACAGAGCAAGUGUCGAUGAAUGUCAGUGGGAGCCAUUUUCUCCACAUGGAGGAAUUCAAUGACACACCUUUUUCUUCAUACGCACUUCCAUGUUAGAUGCCAUUUUGUCAGACUGCCCCUCUGCUCCCAUCAGUUACAUGGCAACAAAAUGUAACAGAGUAUUGGCAGGAAGGUUCAGCCUCUACUACCAUACCACCACCAUCUGUCCAUGUCAUGGGCCAGCAUAAUGAAAUAGUAGUUUUUUCUUUUGGAACAGCCUUUAUAUAUUAUGAUUGGGUUUUAUUUCCAGAAAAAAAUGUAAAAAUAAAUGCUCCUGAAUGACACAGAAGCUAUUCAGAAAUGCUUUUAGAAAGAAUCUGCGCAGGCUCUGGGAAUCCCAAGAACUCACAGGAGCAUUGUGACUUUCCCAAAUGUGUUAUCAACUAGCAAAAUAAUGCUGUUGUUGGAAGAAUGUGAAGGUUAUCGUGCAAAACAUGUUUAUAUUGUUGAAGUGAGAGGAAAUGAUGGUAACUCCCAGAGUAAGGGGUGAACUUCCUCUUCUGAAUAUUCUGACUUUCAGUACCCUCUCCCAAUGCAAGAUUAGUCCUGAUCAUUUUCAGAAGAAUCAGGAACAUUGUUAAUGAACAAAGAAGUUAUCUUCAAAAUUAAUAGUCCACUUUUUUGCUUCUUAAGCUUUACAUUCCUUUCAGCAUGGUUGUUCAAAAAUUUUAAUUAUUUUCCUUUUAUUUUUCUCUUAUUGAAUAUGUGUUUCCUCAUUGAUACUUCUGUCUUUUUACCCUUGAGCCCCAGAUCAUAACCACUGCUACUUGCUACAUUAGCCAUUCUUAAAAACUUCAUUGUAUGAUUAGAAACCACCUCUUCUAAUUUGGAGAAAGUUUGAGCUAAUUGAAACCAGUUCAGAUCUUGUUCAUGUUGUCUACCCCAGCUCAUUACUAUUCCCUGUUGUCUUCAAAAUAAAGCUUUGAUUUCAAUUUUUUUUUUCAUUAUUAACCUGCUUUUUUUGGCUUUGUCUUGGCUGCUCUUUCUAGGACUACUUGGUAGGUAUCUCACCACCUUCCUGAGCUGGCAGGCACACAACAGCACAAACACUUAAAGAAUACUUUCUUUUGUGCUGCUUCAAAUAAAUAAAUAAAGUAUAUUCUUCAAAGUCUGCGGUGUUGUUGGAUUAGCAUGUCCUUUAAUAUAGAGAAAACAGGUUGAUAGAAAGAUUAUUUUUCACUUUAUGUUAUGUCCAGUCUAUAGUAGACCCAGUUGUGCCCCAGAUAACAGAGCCCUGCUUAGAAUUUCCAUAGGUUCAGAUAGUUCAAAGAUGUGGAUGUCUGAGAUCAUCAAACCCCAAAACUGUUUAUCGAGAUAUAGAUAAAUAUUUCAAUGUAAAUGUUAAAAUUUAAAUGCUUUGGUGAUACCAAAGCUUAUUGUGGUCAUUUAUUUAUUAAUAACUCUUUGGCCCCUUUUGUCUAAGUAUUCGUUCAGACCUAAAAGAAAAACAACAAACAAAAAAAAGAUUUUUGUUUUUUUCUCAAAAGUGGACUUUUGCCAGUGGAAUAGCCUAAUACUUCUUUAGCCAUCUGUAAAAGAAGAGAAAGAUUGUUGUAGAUUUGUACAUGUGGACUUAGUAAAAUGAAGCCUUUGACUCUUAUUUUAAAUGCAACUGUAUAAACCUUGCUGAACUUAGGGCAACUAGCUCUCUUCCAACUAAAUCUGCUCUUAGUUUUCCUGGCUCCAUCUUAAACUAGAAAUGCACUUCAUCUCUAAGUAUCAAGAGAUCAAGAGUCUCAAAUCAGGUGAAAGUUUGAACUUUCACAGAAAUACUAUUUGUAAACCUUUUUUUUUUCUUCUUCUUUUUUUUCUCAGGGAAAGCUUAGAAGUGAAAACUCAAAAUGCUCAGUAGUCAUAAAGCCGUUAAAAAUGCCCCAAACUUACUACUGUUUGAGAACAAACUAAUGAGUAUUUUUAGUAGAUGUACUGCAUGCAAAACAGCAACAAGAAAACACUGUAUCAUAGAUUUUUGCUGAAAAGUGAUAGUUUAAAAACAGUCUUCUUUUUUACAAUAUUCUGCUGUAGUAUUUAUUUCUUUGUUUAAAUAUAAAGUGAUAGAACCUGAUAUCUCAUCCCGAAAACAAAUGUUUACAAUAUUCGUGCACAUAAAUCUGCAGGGGAAACAAAUACAGAAAAUUCUCAUUAAUGCAGUACAUUUUCUGGUGAUUUUAUAGUCUAAUUUUCUGUGGUUCCCUACAGAAUGAAUGCUGUUCAGAAAGCAAUUCUAUAAAGUACUUUGUGAAUAACUAUUAUCGGCUAAUUAUUAGAAAUUGCAUGUUGUUGUUAAUUGCAUAAAUAAAUUGUUUUAUCUGAAAGCCAUUUUAAAAAUGUUGGGUGUUUGAAGCAUAUAUGGUUUUGAUGUUCCUGUAUAAAACAUUUAACUGUUUAGCGCAAAAAUAAUGGCAAGGCCAUCAUUUAUACCAUUUUUUAAAAUAUUUUUAAAGCAUUUUUAUGCUCUAUUGCAUUGAAAAGGAAAAGAAAAAAAUAAUUUCAAAGGUGUUUUUUUUUUUUUUAAUUGUUGCCUAAUGAAUAUUCAAAUUAAAAACUGUUUUAUACUUCUUUAUGAAGGUGUUUGCAUGAGAUUGUUCUUAAUUUUGUGGGACUGGCCUAAACUAGAACCUUUAACUCUUCUUGCUUUAAGUUGGUUAAGGAAUGCAAAGUGUUUUUUCCUAGCUGCAUACGUUGAUUAUUCUAGCUUUUUAUGUACAUCUGGGCAAAAUCAAGAACUAUGGAAGUUUCUCUGGCAGUCAUUGUAUUCCUUCAACUUUGUAAACUCAAAGAUAAACUGAGGUGGCAAGAUUGAGUAGGCAGGUGUUUUCCAUUGACUUACACUGGGUCAGAAUUUUAUAUUGAGAAUCUGUUUGUGCUGUAGAUCCAAACAGGCCCUGUUUUUGCUCUGCAGUAGU